RNAcentral lists this ribosomal RNA (378 nucleotides) under uncultured Aminicenantes bacterium. RNAcentral's name for it is "bacterial SSU rRNA". It matches the Rfam family "Bacterial small subunit ribosomal RNA", at positions 1003 to 1382 of the family's 1533-position model. The record is from RNAcentral. Lineage: Bacteria; Candidatus Aminicenantota.
GAGAUAGAAAGUUACUUCGGUACAUCGGUGACAGGGUGGUGCAUGGUUGUCGUCAGCUCGUGUCGUGAGAUGUUGGGUUAAGUCCCGCAACGAGCGCAACCCUUACCCUUAGUUGCCAGCGGGUAAUGCCGGGCACUCUAAGGGGACCGCCCGGAUAACGGGGAGGAAGGCGGGAUGACGUCAAGUCAGCAUGGCCCUUAUGUCCAGGGCUACACACGUGCUACAAUGGGCGAUACAGAGGGAAGCAAGGCCGCAAGGUAGAGCUAAUCCCUAAAGUCGUCCUCAGUUCGGAUUGCAGGCUGCAACUCGCCUGCAUGAAGCCGGAGUUGCUAGUAACCGCAGGUCAGCAAUACUGCGGUGAAUACGUUCCCGGGUCUU